UACGGGGGGAGCAAGCGUUGUUCGGAUUUACUGGGCGUAAAGGGCGCGUAGGCGGCGUGACAAGUCACUUGUGAAAUCUCCGGGCUUAACUCGGAACGGUCAAGUGAUACUGUCGUGCUAGAGUACAGAAGGGGCAACUGGAAUUCUCGGUGUAGCGGUGAAAUGCGUAGAUAUCGAGAGGAACACCGGUGGCGAAGGCGGCCUGCUGGGCAGUUUAGCUGACACUGAGGCGCGACAGCGUGGGGAGCAAACAGG
Molecule: ribosomal RNA, 255 nt
Filed under: uncultured bacterium
Lineage: Bacteria
Description: partial 16S ribosomal RNA
Rfam family: Bacterial small subunit ribosomal RNA
Source: RNAcentral